CCUACGGGCGGCAGCAGUGAGGAAUAUUGGUCAAUGGGCGCGAGCCUGAACCAGCCAAGUCGCGUGAGGGAUGAAGGUUCUAUGGAUCGUAAACCUCUUUUAUAAGGGAAUAAAGUGUGGGACGUGUCCUAUUUUGUAUGUACCUUAUGAAUAAGGAUCGGCUAACUCCGUGCCAGCAGCCGCGGUAAUACGGAGGAGCCGAGCGUUAUCCGGAUUUAUGGGGUUUAAGGGGUGCGUAGGCGGGCUUUUAAGUCAGCGGGGAAAGUCUGUGGCUCAACCAUAGAAUUGCCGUUGAAACUGGGGGGCUUGAGUAUGUUUGAGGCAGGCGGAAUGUGUGGUGUAGCGGUGAAAUGCUUAGAUAUCACGCAGAACCCCGAUUGCGAAGGCAGCCUGCCAAGCCAUGACUGACGCUGAUGCACGAAAGCGUGGGGAUCAAACAGGAUUAGAUACCCUUGUAGUC
Molecule: ribosomal RNA, 460 nt
Filed under: uncultured bacterium
Lineage: Bacteria
Description: partial 16S ribosomal RNA
Rfam family: Bacterial small subunit ribosomal RNA
Source: RNAcentral